AUUGAACGCUGGCGGCAGGCCUAACACAUGCAAGUCGAACGAGUGGCGGACGGGUGAGUAAUGUCUGGGAAACUGCCUGAUGGAGGGGGAUAACUACUGGAAACGGUAGCUAAUACCGCAUACCAUCGGAUGUGCCCAGAUGGGAUUAGCUAGUGGGUGGGGUAACGGCUCACCUAGGCGACGAUCCCUAGCUGGUCUGAGAGGAUGACAGGCCCGCCUGGAACUGAUACACGGUCCGGACGCCUACGGGAGGCAGCAGUGGGGAAUAUUGCAAAAUGGGCGCAAGCCGAAUGCAGCCAUGCCGCGUGUAUGAAGAAGGCCUUCGGGUUGUAAAGUACUUUCAGCGGGGAGGCGUUACCCGCAGAAGAAGCACCGGCUAACUCCGUGCCAGCAGCCGCGGUAAUAC
RNAcentral lists this ribosomal RNA (406 nucleotides) under uncultured bacterium. Its description in RNAcentral is "partial 16S ribosomal RNA". It matches the Rfam family "Bacterial small subunit ribosomal RNA", at positions 30 to 526 of the family's 1533-position model. The record is from RNAcentral.